This 5216-nucleotide long non-coding RNA is filed under the name Sus scrofa (pig). RNAcentral's name for it is "lncRNA (ENSSSCG00000062250.1)". Lineage: Eukaryota; Metazoa; Chordata; Mammalia; Artiodactyla; Suidae. The record is from RNAcentral.
GCAUAUGGAGGUUCCCAGGCUAGGAGUCUAGUUGGAGCUGUAGCCGCCAGCCUACGCCAGAGCCACAGCAACGCAGGAUCCAAGCCGUGUCUGUGACCUACACCACAGCUCAUGGCAACACCAGAUCCUUAACCCACUGAGCGAGGCCAGGGAUCGAACCCACAACCUCAUGGUUUCUUGUAGGAUUUGUUAACCACUGAGCCACGACGGGAACUCCCAAAUUUUUUUUUAAUUUAAAGUAUAAUUUAUCUCAUACUAAUAUGUCAGUUGAAAUUUUUGGCUAAUGUUUGCAUGGUUUUUAUUUUUCCAUAAUUUUCUUUUCAACUUUAUAUGUUACAUAUGAAAUAACAUAAUAUGUGAAUAUUGUGUAUAGCAUAUGCUUGGCUAAUUUUUUUUUUUUUUUUUUUUUUUUUUUUUUUUGUCUUUUUAAGGCCAAACCUGCAGCACAUGGAGGUUCCCAGGCUAGGAGUCGAAUCUGAGCUGUAGCUGCCGGCCUACACCACAGCUAUAGCAACUCGGGAUCCAAGCCACAUCUUCGAGCUACACCACAGCUCAUGGCAACGCUGGAUCCUUAACCCACUGAGUGAGGCCAGAGAUCAAACCUGCGUCCUGAUGGAUGCUCGUCAGAUUUGUUUCCUCUAAGCCGUGACAGGAAUUCCUUGGCUAAUUUUCUUAAAUCUUUAUUACUGAUUUCUGUCUUUAAAUUGGUAUAUUGAAACCAUUUAAAUUUAAAAUAAUUAUUGAUAUUUCUAGGGCUUAUGUCUGCUAUUUUAUGGUUUUUAUUCUCGGCUUAUUGUUGCCCUUAUCUUUGGUUUGGGGAAGGGGGUUCUUUUUCUUUGUUUUGCCUUCUUUUGUGUUGCUUUAAUUUUUGAGUUCCAUUUGGUAAGUCUGUGAUGUUUUUGAGUAUAUCUCUUGUAUUCUGGUGGUUCCUGUACAUAUUGUACAUACAUAACUUAUCAGAGCCUAUCGUUUCAACAUUUAGCACUUUGACAUAGAGAGACUUUACUUGCAUUGGGUACCUUCACAUCCCUCAUUCUUGAAUGUCAUUGUCUUUAGGUGUUUCCUCUUUCUACACUGAGCACCGUAUUGGGUGAUGUUCUUUUCUACUUCAACUGUCAAACAGUUUUUACAAAACUCAAGAGCCGUAGUCUGGUUACUUCUGCUUUUACUCAUUACAUUGUUCUUUCUUCCUUCUUGAGAUCCCGAGAUUUUUCCCAUUAACAUUUCCUUUUUAAAUGUUUUGUUCCAGAAACACCCGGAAUCUGUCUUCUAGGGUAGGUUUUCUGGGAACACGUGUUUUUUUUUUCCUGCAUCUGAAAAUGUUUUUGUAUCUCCUUCAUUCCCAGAGGAUCUCUUUGUGGGAUUUAGCAUUCCGAGUCAGCAGUUCUUUUAGUACUUGAAAAGCGUGUCAUUGCCUUCUGUCUUCCAUGGUUUCAGGUGGGAAGUCUGCUGCCAUUUGACUCGUUAUUUUCAUCUCUAUAACGUCUCAUUUCUGUCAGAUACUUUCAAAGGGUUUUUUUUUUUUUUUUUUUUUAACCAUUUUUGGCCGCCCUGUGACAUACGGAGUUCCAACCCAGGGAUCAGAUCCGAGCCACAGCUGCGACAACACUGGAUCCUUAACCCACUGUGCCGGGCCGGGGAUCAAACCUAUGUUCCAGCCAGUCCCAUUGUGCCACAGCGGGAACUCCCCAAAUGUUUUUUCUUUGUAUAUAGAGUUCAGAAGUUUGAUUAUGAUGUAACCUGCCAUAAUAUUGUGGGGGCUUAAUCCUGUUUGGUAUCGGUUCAGCUUUUUUAAUCUUGUGUAUGCCCUUUGGCAAAUUUGGGAAAUUUUUAAUUCUUCUUCAAAUAUUUUUUUCAGCCCCUCUCUUUCAGGGGCUCCAAUAACAUGAGUGAUGGUUCUUAUUCCAUAGGACCCUCGGGUGCCCAUCUUUUUGUUCCCCCCUAGUUUUUUCUGUGUUACUUAUAUUGAUUAAUUUCCAUUGAUCUCUCUUUGAGCUCACAGAUUCCUUUCUCUAUCAUAUAUAAUCUACUGUUGAGUGCACCCAGUGAAUUUUCAUUUUGGUUUCUUUUCUUUUUUUUUUGUCUUUUUGCCUUUUCUUGAGCCACUCCUGUGGCAUAUGGAGGUUCCCAGGCUAGGGGUCUAAUCGGAGCUGUAGCCACCAGCCUACCCCAGAGCCACAGCAAUGAGGGAUCCAAGCUGCAUCUGCAGCCUACACACACUGUAGCUCACGGCAAUGCCGGACCCUUAACCCCCGAGCAAGGCCAGGGAUCAAAUCCGCAACCUCAUGGUUCCUAGUCAGAUUUGUUAACCACUGCGCCAUGACGGGAACUCCUCAUUUUGGUUUCUAAAUUUUUCAGUUGUUUUCUUUGCAUUUGGUCCUCUUAUAGGUCUUCUGGAUCUUUGCUAGUUUAUAAUGCCAAAGGACUCAGAAAAUAGGCACCGAAACUAAGGAUUCCAAAGCCAGUGGUUCAUGAUGAUUUAUCUUAUGUUGAAAUAGAAAUCCUAAAUUAUCUAGAGGAUUGAAAGGCCUGCAGUCUUCUAUGUUGGUAUCCAUAAAUAUUUCUCAAGAAAAAAUAUAACUGAGGGUGUCCUGCGAUUGUUCAGCAUUAUGUUCUCCAGGGAGGAUGUGUGUGUAAAAUCCCCUAGUUCUCUAAGGCUUUUUAUAGCCUUAAAGGUGGAGGGUCACCCCUCUUCCAGGAUGACUCUUCCUCUUUGUGGUUGAACACACCCUCCCAUGUCCCCAACUCGUAAGGGAGCUCUUUCUUUCCUUUAUACCUCUACCUCUUGGUCUUUAACUCCUCCUUCUUAAUCCCCUUCCGUCCUCACAAUCUCUACCUGUGUUCCUCACCCCCAGGCAGCACUUUCUGCCCCAUAGACACACCCUGUGUAGCUAUUCUGUCCCCUGCCUGUCCCCACCCCCUCAUGUUCCUCCCACUCCACUGAAAACUAGACAGUGACCUCCACCCUGGUCUCUUGGUCUCACGGAGUUCCCUUUUGUCUCCUCUCUCCCCAACUCUAGCCAGACUCCUGCCCAUUUCUCUGACUUGAAGGUCCUUUCCUGGGUUCUGUGAUUUCCUGCCCCUCUUCAGAGGGUUUGUGUCUUCAUUCCAUGUAUUAAACAAUCGUGCUUCCCAGAAUCCAUCCAAGGCCAUUGUUUUCUCACUUGUGGUGAGUGACUUAAUUCCCGCUCAGGGCAUUUUACACUCAGUGAUACAUGGAGUUCCCCAAUAUCCAUGUCUCCUGGUUGAGUUUUUCUCACAUCUUUUACCCACUGUUCCUACUUCCACACAUUCUUUGUAUUCACAUACACUGAGGUGAUGCCUGUGUCAUGUGGCCAAGGCCACUGCCAUGAGGAUGCAUCCAUAAUGAUUGUAAAAACAAGCAAACAUGUGCUUUAACUGUCUAUCAGUCAGCCAUUGCUUUGAAUGUUUAAACCCAGCAAAUCUUUUCCAUUUUUUUUUUUUUUUUUUUUUAAGGGCUCCCCCUGAGCUGUAUGGAAGUUCCCAGGCUAGGGGUGGAAUCAGAGCUGCAGCUACUGGCGUACACCACAGCCACAGCAAUGCCAGAUCCAAGCUGCACCUGUGACCUCCACCACAGCUCACGGCAACACUGGAUCCCUAACCCACUGAGCGGGGUCAGGGAUUGAACCCAUAUCUUCAUGGAUACUAGUUGGGCUUGUUACUGCUGAGCCACAAGGGGAACUCAACACAUCAACUCUUAACCUUUGCAGCGAGUCUAUAACGUAGGUAAUACUACACAUUUCAUAAAUCGAAACACUAAGGAAUAGAAAGGUUAAGGAAUUUUCCCCAAAGUUCUGUAGUCUACAAGGUAUGAGAUUAGGGAUUGGAGGCCAUUUAGGCUGGCUGCAGAAUCCAUGCCCUUAUCACUUCCUAGAUUCCUUCUCAUUCUGUGAAUCUUUGUUCUCCUGGUCACUAUUCAUUUUAUUCAAAUGGAUAAAAAAUAAUCAGUAAAAUAGAUCCGUACCCCCUUUUUCAAUUGACAGUACAUCUUGGCCAUCCUUUAAGGUUGAGUCUUCAGCGGUUGCAAAAUGUCUUGUAACUUUGUAGAAAAUACAAGUAAUCUCUGAGUUUGAGGUAGCAGGCAGGUAGAGAAGAGCCACGGUUGGCAUUGGUUUUAGACAUUUUAUUUGAGGUGCCUGAAAAAAAGGUCUCAGCAAAUCACACUGUCUUCUGUUUUGUACAAAAGCCAGACACCUUACAGCCAAUUUUUUUCAUCAUCCUCAUCCUUGCAUCCAGCUGUUACCUAAUUCUGUUCAUUGUACCUUUUUAUUUUCUUUAGUGAACAAUCCAUCUGUGUGUGCUAGUGAAUGGCCACACCCAGCAGUGUAUUUUUAUGUUUGCCUCCCUCACGGUGUUUACACAAAGCUAUGUAUGUAUUUGGCAGAAUAUAUGACAUAUGUUGACUUCCAAGAGAAACUGUAUGGGCUUUUAUGGACAGAUCUCCAAGACUUUAGAUGUCAUAGUUAAUGACUGUGUUGAAAGUCCUCAAGACCACCCAGGUUUGAUGAUUUACUAGGAAGAAUCCAAGGACUUGGUAUGUUAUCAUACUCAACAUCUGUGGUUUAUUACAGCAAAAGAAUGCAAAGUAAUCGCAACUAAGGAAAAAGACACAGAGACUGAAGUCCAGAGGAAGCCAGGGACAAGCUUUAGGAGUUCAGAGUUUUUCAUUUAGGUUGUGUCAGCAUGUAUGAGAUGUCUCCUGCGGGAAAACUCAUUAGAACUUCAGUGCACGUGAUAUUUAUUGGGCCCUCUGUCUAGAACACAGCUAGAAUUCUAGACCUCUAGAAGAUGAAAAGUUACCCAGCAUUAGCCAGGUUGUUUACACAAACAACAGGUAUACUGAGCCAUUCGUCAUUUCUGGAAAUGAUAGGAGGCCUCCUGAAAUCUAAGGUCUGGUAAACUUUGAAGCUCAACGGAUAGCCUGGUAACUUAACUCUUCUCCACAGUGGCUUGAAUGAUACUAGAAUGUUGAGGAAGUUUAAUUUUCUUUAACACGUGUUAAAACACAUAACAGUUUGCUACAGCAGAGAAGUCAUGACUUUGAGGUGAAGGCUUAUCUACGUGUAAAUCAUUGUAGCUAAAACAAUCCGUUAUGUCACAGAAUUCUUACAAAGUGGUCAGGAUUCAUCUUAGCAUUGACAAAAUCCAGAGACUGGUGAGAAAGAAUGUUUCCUCUCAAUAAAUCUGUAUCUAAU